UGGGGAAUUUUGGACAAUGGGCGAAAGCCUGAUCCAGCAAUGCCGCGUGUGUGAAGAAGGCCUUCGGGUUGUAAAGCACUUUUGUCCGGAAAGAAAUCCUUGGCUCUAAUACAGUCGGGGGAUGACGGUACCGGAAGAAUAAGCACCGGCUAACUACGUGCCAGCAGCCGCGGUAAUACGUAGGGUGCAAGCGUUAAUCGGAAUUACUGGGCGUAAAGCGUGCGCAGGCGGUUUGCUAAGACCGAUGUGAAAUCCCCGGGCUCAACCUGGGAACUGCAUUGGUGACUGGCAGGCUAGAGUAUGGCAGAGGGGGGUAGAAUUCCACGUGUAGCAGUGAAAUGCGUAGAGAUGUGGAGGAAUACCGAUGGCGAAGGCAGCCCCCUGGGCCAAUACUGACGCUCAUGCACGGAAGCGUGGGGAGCAAACAGGAUUAGAUACCCUGGUAGUCCACGCCCUAAACGAUGUCAACUAGUUGUUGGGGAUUCAUUUCCUUAGUAACGUAGCUAACGCGUGAAGUUGACCGCCUGGGGAGUACGGUCGCAAGAUUAAAACUCAAAGGAAUUGACGGGGUCAUAGCUGUUUCCU
RNAcentral lists this ribosomal RNA (585 nucleotides) under uncultured bacterium. Its description in RNAcentral is "partial 16S ribosomal RNA". It matches the Rfam family "Bacterial small subunit ribosomal RNA", at positions 355 to 1375 of the family's 1533-position model. The record is from RNAcentral.